This 727-nucleotide ribosomal RNA is filed under the name uncultured bacterium. RNAcentral describes it as "bacterial SSU rRNA". It matches the Rfam family "Bacterial small subunit ribosomal RNA", at positions 140 to 853 of the family's 1533-position model. The record is from RNAcentral.
GGGAUAACACUUGGAAACAGGUGCUAAUACCGUAUAACACUAUUUUCCGCAUGGAAGAAAGUUGAAAGGCGCUUUUGCGUCACUGAUGGAUGGACCCGCGGUGCAUUAGCUAGUUGGUGAGGUAACGGCUCACCAAGGCCACGAUGCAUAGCCGACCUGAGAGGGUGAUCGGCCACACUGGGACUGAGACACGGCCCAGACUCCUACGGGAGGCAGCAGUAGGGAAUCUUCGGCAAUGGACGAAAGUCUGACCGAGCAACGCCGCGUGAGUGAAGAAGGUUUUCGGAUCGUAAAACUCUGUUGUUAGAGAAGAACAAGGAUGAGAGUAGAACGUUCAUCCCUUGACGGUAUCUAACCAGAAAGCCACGGCUAACUACGUGCCAGCAGCCGCGGUAAUACGUAGGUGGCAAGCGUUGUCCGGAUUUAUUGGGCGUAAAGCGAGCGCAGGCGGUUUCUUAAGUCUGAUGUGAAAGCCCCCGGCUCAACCGGGGAGGGUCAUUGGAAACUGGGAGACUUGAGUGCAGAAGAGGAGAGUGGAAUUCCAUGUGUAGCGGUGAAAUGCGUAGAUAUAUGGAGGAACACCAGUGGCGAAGGCGGCUCUCUGGUCUGUAACUGACGCUGAGGCUCGAAAGCGUGGGGAGCGAACAGGAUUAGAUACCCUGGUAGUCCACGCCGUAAACGAUGAGUGAUAAGUGUUGGAGGGUUUCCGCCCUUCAGUGCUGCAGCA